GAGCGAAUGAAGGGGAUUUGCUCCUUUUACGUUAGCGGCGGACGGGUGAUGAAUCGUGGCUGCCUACCUUAUAGGUUGGGAUAACUCCGGGAAACCGGGGCUAAUACCGAAUAAUCUAUUUUACUUCAUGGAGAAAUACUGAAAGACGGUUUCGGUUGUCCUUAUAAGAUGGGCCCGCGGGGCGUUAUCUAGUUGCUGAGGUAACGGCUCACCAAGGUGACCAUGCAUAACCGACCUGAGAGGGUGAUCUGCCACACUGGGACUGAGACUCGGCCCAGACUCCUACGGGAGGCAGCAACAGGGAAUCUUCCACAAUGGGCGAAAUGCUGAUGGAGCAACGCCGGGUGAGUGAAUAAGGUUUUCUGAUCGUAAAACUCUGUGGUAAGGGAAGAACAAGUACAUGUUUAACUGGUUGCACCUUGACGGUACCUUAUUAAAAAGCCACGGCUAACUACGUGCCAACAGCCGCGGCAAUACGUAGGUGGAAAGCGUGGUCCGGAAUUAUUGGGCGUAAAGCGCGCGCAGGCGGUCCUUUAAGUCUGAUGUGAAACCCCACGGCUCAACCGUGGAUGGUCAUUGGAAACUGGGGGACUUGAGUGCAGAAUAGGAAAGUGGAAUUCCAAGUGUAGCGGUGAAAUGCGUACACAUUUGGAGGAACACCACUGGCGAAAGCGACUUUCUGGUCUGUAACUGACGCUGAGGCGCGAAAGCGUGAGGAGCAAACAGGAUUAUAUACCCUGGUACUCCACGCCGUUAACGAUGAGUGCUAUGUGUUAUGGGGUUUCCGCCCCUUAGUGUUGCAUCUAACGCCUGAAGGACUCCGCCUGGG
Molecule: ribosomal RNA, 829 nt
Filed under: Lysinibacillus boronitolerans
Lineage: Bacteria; Bacillati; Bacillota; Bacilli; Caryophanales; Bacillaceae
Description: bacterial SSU rRNA
Rfam family: Bacterial small subunit ribosomal RNA
Source: RNAcentral